GCGAGAAUGGCGCAGUGGGUAAGCGGAUUGGGCUUUGGCUCAGAAGGUCAGGGGUUCGACCCCCAGGACAUGCC
Molecule: non-coding RNA, 74 nt
Organism: Caenorhabditis elegans
Lineage: Eukaryota; Metazoa; Nematoda; Chromadorea; Rhabditida; Rhabditidae
Source: the annotation of a RefSeq genome assembly